UACGGAGGGAGCUAGCGUUAUUCGGAAUUACUGGGCGUAAAGCGUACGUAGGCGGCUUUGUAAGUAAGAGGUGAAAGCCUGGAGCUCAACUCCAGAAUUGCCUUUUAGACUGCAUCGCUUGAAUCAUGGAGAGGUGAGUGGAAUUCCGAGUGUAGAGGUGAAAUUCGUAGAUAUUCGGAAGAACACCAGUGGCGAAGGCGGCUCACUGGACAUGUAUUGACGCUGAGGUGCGAAAGCGUGGGGAGCAAACAGG
RNAcentral lists this ribosomal RNA (253 nucleotides) under uncultured bacterium. Its description in RNAcentral is "partial 16S ribosomal RNA". It matches the Rfam family "Bacterial small subunit ribosomal RNA", at positions 524 to 776 of the family's 1533-position model. The record is from RNAcentral.